Acinonyx jubatus (cheetah) is the source of this 5083-nucleotide long non-coding RNA. RefSeq lists it as uncharacterized. The transcript is spliced from 6 exons. The record is from RefSeq and is a predicted model, not a curated record. Lineage: Eukaryota; Metazoa; Chordata; Mammalia; Carnivora; Felidae.
CAUAUGCAACAAGUUAGGUUGCAUGGACAAGUUGAGUUUCAGUUUAAAUAUAGAAACUCUGGAACAUUUUAUUAUAAAGGAAUAGUGCUGGGAAACUCCUUAAAGAAUGACUACAAAAGGAACUAUGAGAAGAAGAUAAUAAGAUUAACACUAGAGAACCUUGAAAAGUGAUAGCAGCAGCUAUGGAAACAUCUGCUUGCCAAGCAGUGCUAUAUAUAUUGGGUCAUGACAGUUGUUAAGUUGUGUUUUCUGAUGCUGAUGCUGAGGAAGAUGACACCAGGUUAAGCAUGGCCAAAUAUUUUCAGAAUGAAAGAUGGGUGCUUCAGCUCAUGCUCCUCUCACAUUUGGUGGAAGGAGCAACAGUUGAUAUCAUGGCUUCUUCAGGCAGAAACGGCAAAAUUGCCAAGUUCCACGAGACAAUUUCUUACAGGAGAACAGGCAGGACCCGCGGCCCUGAAAAGGUAGCAAUGAAGCAGACCCGGUUGCUAAAAUGAAAUCGCUUAAUUUGUCACGUGAGCGUGCCUACCCAGAAACUAUUAGUUGCGUUGGAAGAAAGACUGAAAAUACGUAAACUCUAAGAGAAGGUCCGGUCUCUACAUGGCAUGCUGAGUUUAGGGAAAUCUGCAUGCUGCUUUCCUUUCCCACAAAAGACGCUGAGGUGUCCCUGGUGUGCCUAACGGCACAUUUCAGGUCAUCCCAGAGUGGAAAUCUAUCUCAGAGGAAAAUUUGAUGUCCUUGUUCAGCCUGGAGCACAAUUCUACGAUGCAUCAAUUCUACUUCAUAGCUCAUUAAAUUGCUGCAGGACUCCUGCGUGAUAACAGUUGAUCACAGCUGAAGAAUCUACAAUGUAUGAGUUCUGUUUAAGAAGGAGUUCUUAGGAAUACCCAAAGACAACAGGGGACCUAAAAGACAAGGGCAUCAGAGGAAUUUGACCACCCUGGAACCUACAGCUUUAGCAACCAUUAAUUACAGUCGGCCAGAUGAACAUAAAACUUCACAGUGAAUUUAUCAAUGUAUUUUCUGCUUUUUUGGAACAGGCUGGGGAUGAGUUAACUGUGUUCAAAUCUUGUAUAGGUUACAACUUAAUUUUGUCUGCUUGAUCUAGAAGUUCCUGAAAAAGAUGUAUACAGACGAUAUACAGACAAUUUAUGUACCAGUGCAAUGACAGAUACUCUGGAAAAUACAGUCUGGAGAAAGAACUAAAGGAGAAAGGGUGAGAGAAAGGAACCUGAGGUAGGAAAUAUGAAUUGAAGCUAACUGAUGGACUACCAAAAUGGACACUACUUCAUGACAAGCUCCAAAGAGAAACAGCUCAAUGGAUAUGUCCACUCAGUAUACAAGAUUCUUCUGGAUUUAUUUGUUUGUUUGUUUGUUUAUUUGUUUAUUUUAAAGAAGCCCAUAAGAGCAGGUACAUGUUAUGGAUUAAAUUCCAUUCCCUCAAAAUUCAUAUGUCAUCCUAACUUGUAAUAUGACUGUAUUCAGAAAAAGGCCGUUGAGGAAGUAAUUAAGGUCAAAUGAGGUCAUAAGGGUGGGGCCCUAAUUCUGAUUGGAUUAGUAUCCUUAGAAGAAGAGGAAGAGGCUUCAUGGGUAUGUGUACGCAGAGGAAAGGCCAUGUAUGUAAGGACACAAAGAGAAGACAGCUGUCUGCACACAAAAGAAGGAGGUCUGAGGACACCCCAAACCUGCUGACACCUUGGUCCUUGACUCCUAGCCUCUGGGUCUAUGAAAAAACAAACUGUUGCUAUUUCAGCCACCUAAUUGUACUCUGUUAUGACAGUCCUAACAAACUAAUAUAGUAAAGAAGGGGAAUCUCCCAGGCUUCCAUCUCUCUUUAAUCUAUCGGGUCCCAAUUCUAAAAGAUUGCAUCACCCCUUGGAUGAUGCAGUUCAGGAUGCCGUACCUGAUCUCUUUGGUACAGAGUUUAAGCCAAGUCUAGAAAUGUCAUUAAAGCUGGAAACUCUGGGUGUGUAGCUGGUUGGCUGAGAUAUGCAGGUGGCCAAAGGGAGGUGAUUGGCACUUCCCAGGCAAUGUGAAUAUUUGGUAUUGCAUGUGGCAGUGUGUUAUAGGAAGUGAACCACAUUAUAAAUUUCAGUGUAUCCUCAAGAUAUGUGUCCUGUAUAAUAGGGGAAGUGGGGAAGCUAAUAUCUGAACUCAGAAGACCAUCUUAACUGGAAGUCUUAUAGACAUUUAUUAUUCCCAUUUCUCUUAAGUUUCAUUUUACUUAAAUGAAUAUACCUCACAUUUAGAUAUACAAUAAACUCUUUGGGUUAUCUAGUUUAACACUCUCAUGCUAAAAGUGAGAGAAUUCCGGCUCACAAAAGUGAUAUUACUUGCUUAAUUUGUAGAUCCUAAGGGAUUUGCUUUACCUAAUUUGCUUAGUCUUAGAAUUUGGUUCUCAACCCAUUGUAAAAUCCAAGGGACUUCCCAUUAUUUUAUGCUUAUGUUCUAUGAGGAUAGAUCGAUAAAAAAUAGCAUGAUAUGGCAUGAGAGGCUGUAAAAUUUCAAAUGGCACACAAGUUGAACUAUCUGGCUUUGUUUUCCAAAUAUGGUAGCUAAUAAAACAGAACUUGAGCAGAAUAAGGUGUUCAGUGUAAAAGGUAAAGCUGUGAUGCUGACUUCAAAGUUAGCGGAUGAAACCAAUCACUUCUUUACACUGAACUGUAAAAGGUCAGUUACAAGAGAGAAAAAUACUAUUGGAGGCUUACAUUUAGUGCAGCAAUACGUCAGCUAGCAUUGGGUAACCAGGUGAAUAAACUUGCCUUAGUGGCUGUCUUUUGUCACUUGUUUUUUCUGAAAAAGCAUAUCAAAUUGCAAUAUUUUUAAUUAAGAGAAAAUAAUACGAUUAUUCGAAAAAUAUGGGAAUCAGGAAGAAUACGAAGAUUAUAAGGAAUAAACAGUCGUUACAAAUUGAAAACAGGAAUGAUGUAUCACGUGUUCUAGGCAUCUAAGUUGACAAUAUUGUGGGUCUAUGAUAAAAUUUGGGGGGACCUGUUCUUUAAAAUAAAAGUAAUCAACAUCAUCUAAUGUAUAUUCAGUGUUUGAGAAUAUAACAGGAGCAAAAUGACAAAAUCCACUCCGAUUUUGUUCUUUACUUCCAUUACAACUAGAAGCAAACAUUACUGUUUCCUGGUUUGAUGCUGAGUGAAUAGGUGAUAGCUGGCAGUUCAUCCAGAAUCGCUCAUAAGUAAUCAGUAGACGCUAUGCCUUAUGUGACAGCUCUUCAUUUAGUUUAAUUUACUGUAACUCACGUGUAUUAAUAUCCUAGUAAGCUCCCUGGUGUCCCAUUUCUGGCAGUGUGAGUGUCUCAUUUUCUCUGUAUGGGAUUCCCUUGUGAAAUAUUUGGGAGCUCUAACACAGAAAGCAUCAGGAAGGGAAGGAUGCUGCUUGGAGGAAUAGUUUUUUAUGUGGUCGACUAAGUAAUCUGUUACUCAAAAGGUGAUAAAAACACGUAGUUUGGAUAAAUUGUUUUAACAUUUAUUGCAAAAUUUAUAAUUGCAUCGAUUGCUGAAAAUAAUACCAUUAAAUAAAUGUAGUAGUAUUUGUUUUUCUUGCUGUGUUCCUUUCCUAAAUUUUACAAAUGUGUAUUAAAUUCAUACUACGUGUAAGCCACGGUGGUAUAUGUUUAUAGAUCCAAAACUCAUUGUUAGAAAUUCCAUUUUCACUAGUAUGGAUAAAUAGAUACCUCCCACUAAAAACAACUGUGAAUGCUUUAUAAACUAUUUAUAGUUCAUUUAUUUUUGUCUAUUUAUUUACUUAUCUACAUUAGGAUGGCUCAUAUAUUCUUAUAUGCAAUAGACUGUGUUCCAUUAAUAUAGUUACUCAUGUCUGAUGCUCAACAUGUAUCGUAUUUGUUCAGCAGGAUUCUCUUAUAUUCAGCUUUUGUGUCCUUUGGGUUUUUUUCCCAUCAUUCUUUGAAUAUUUUCUUAUUGAAGGCAGUAGAAGACACUUCAGGUUUAUUUUUUAAUUUUCAUACCCCAGCUUUGGAAUUAGCUGUUUCUCCAAAAAAGCCUCACAACCUUUAGGUGGAAAAAGAUAUUUAGCAGCCAAGAUCAGGGUGGUAAGUGUGCUCAUUGCUACCUGUAUUAUUGGUCUUAGGCUCUUACUGGAAAAAGAAAGGACAUGUGACAUAUAUAAUAUCAUUUUUUAUAUCUAUUUAUUUUUCUCUCUGUCUUAAAGACCAUGAGUUCAUACUGGUAUUUCAAAUUCCCAAGAGUGAGAAAUUGGACUCUCAUUACUAUCAAUACGUCCAUUCAUUUAAUCAAGCCUAGAGCACACAGAAAGUAGUUUCACAGUUGCUAACUCAUUACUACAAAAAAGAAUUCUGUAUUUGUUUACUGUAUGUAUGUGAAAUACAUAAACUUUUUUUCCCCAAUUUUAUCAAGACGCAAUUGACAUCCAUCACUGUAUAAGUUUAAGGCAUACACCAUGAAGGUUUGAUUUACAUAUAUUGUGAAAUGAUGAAUGCAUUCGAUUCAGUUAACGUCUAUCUUCUCAUAUGGAUACAACAACAACAACACAAAAAAGAAAAAAAAAAGAGAAAACAUUUUCUCUUUGUGAUGAGAACUCUUAGGAUCUACUCUCUUUAACAACUCCGUUUCCUAUAUAUCAUACAGAAGUGUUAGCUUUAGUCAUCCUGUGUACAUCACAUCCUAGUACUAGCUUAAGCAUUUAAUUCAUUUUCUCAAAAGCAGACAUUCAUGUAAUCCCCACCCCUAACAAGAAUAGAACAUUUUUUUCAGUCUCCUUCCUAGUUGUUCUCCUCUCGUGCCAAAUUACUUUCCUGAAUUUUUAUCAUGAAUAUACCACAAUCUGUUUGUACAUUCUCCUGUUGGUGGGCAUUUGAAUUAUUUCCAUUUUUUAAGCUAUUUUGAACAAAGUUUCUACAAGUAUUCUUGGGCAAAAUUUUUGUAGACAUAUUUUCAUUUCUCUUGGGUAAAUACCUAGGAGUGGAAUUAUUUGGAUUACACAAUGGGUACAUGUUCAAUUUUGUAAGAAACUGCCAAACUGUUUUGUAACUUAUCGUUCCAGUUUACCUUCCCAUAUUCAAUGUAUGAACAUUCCAGUGGCCCCACAUCCUUGCUUA